Molecule: non-coding RNA, 48 nt
Filed under: unclassified sequences
Description: ssnA RNA
Rfam family: ssnA RNA
Source: RNAcentral
AUUGUAUUAGCUGUAACGAAGUGCUUCGCGCACGGGCUGGUUUUUCCG